This 85-nucleotide transfer RNA is filed under the name Caulobacter sp. Its description in RNAcentral is "tRNA-Leu". It matches the Rfam family "tRNA". From Rfam's summary of the family: Transfer RNA (tRNA) molecules are approximately 80 nucleotides in length. Lineage: Bacteria; Pseudomonadati; Pseudomonadota; Alphaproteobacteria; Caulobacterales; Caulobacteraceae. The record is from RNAcentral. RNAcentral also lists the same sequence under 1 other name.
GCCCCUGUGGUGAAACUGGUAGACGCGCCGGAUUCAAAAUCCGGUUCCGCAAGGAGUGUCGGUUCGAGCCCGACCGGGGGCACCA